CCAGCUGCAGCUGCUCUCUCCGGCUCAACAAAUGUGUCUGAUCUGAUGCGCUUUUUGGUCACAAAAUAGGAAUUAUACGUGCUUAAUGUUCAGGCGUAUUAUGUGUGUGCUAUCUUAAAGAAACAUGAAGUUUCUAAUAUUUUUGCAUAUCCCUAGAAACUGAUUACCGGUGUGCAGAAGUAUACGGGGCUGUACCUUCAAAGUAUGCCUAAUUCACUACAUGCUUUUGUAAGAACCGUAAAAUCUCUUAGCAGUAAAUCACCGAUGUGCUGCU
Molecule: long non-coding RNA, 274 nt
Filed under: Oryza brachyantha (malo sina)
Lineage: Eukaryota; Viridiplantae; Streptophyta; Magnoliopsida; Poales; Poaceae
Description: long non-coding RNA (OBRA_LNC001130)
Source: RNAcentral